Molecule: ribosomal RNA, 497 nt
Filed under: uncultured bacterium
Lineage: Bacteria
Description: partial 16S ribosomal RNA
Rfam family: Bacterial small subunit ribosomal RNA
Source: RNAcentral
GAUGAACGCUGGCGGCGUGCCUAAUACAUGCGAGUCGAGCGAACAGACGAGGAGCUUGCUCCUCUGACGUUAGCGGCGGACGGGUGAGUAACACGUGGAUAACCUACCUAUAAGACUGGGAUAACUUCGGGAAACCGGAGCUAAUACCGGAUAAUAUAUUGAACCGCAUGGUUCAAUAGUGAAAGACGGUUUUGCUGUCACUUAUAGAUGGAUCCGCGCCGCAUUAGCUAGUUGGUAAGGUAACGGCUUACCAAGGCAACGAUGCGUAGCCGACCUGAGAGGGUGAUCGGCCACACUGGAACUGAGACCCGGUCCAGACUCCUACGGGAGGCAGCAGUAGGGAAUCUCCCGCAAUGGGCGAAAGCCUGACGGAGCAACGCCGCGGGAGUGAGGAAGGUCUUCGGAUCUAAAACCUCUGUUAUGAGGGAAAAACAAAUGUGUAAGUAACUAUGCACGUCUGGACGGUCCCUAAUCAGAAGGCCACGGCUAACCACGUG